GACGAACGCUGGCGGCGUGCUUAACACAUGCAAGUCGAACGGAAAGGCCCUGCUUUUGUGGGGUGCUCGAGUGGCGAACGGGUGAGUAACACGUGAGUAACCUGCCCUUGACUUUGGGAUAACUUCAGGAAACUGGGGCUAAUACCGGAUAGGAGCUCCUGCUGCAUGGUGGGGGUUGGAAAGUUUCGGCGGUUGGGGAUGGACUCGCGGCUUAUCAGCUUGUUGGUGGGGUAGUGGCUUACCAAGGCUUUGACGGGUAGCCGGCCUGAGAGGGUGACCGGCCACAUUGGGACUGAGAUACGGCCCAGACUCCUACGGGAGGCAGCAGUGGGGAAUAUUGCACAAUGGGCGGAAGCCUGAUGCAGCAACGCCGCGUGCGGGAUGACGGCCUUCGGGUUGUAAACCGCUUUCGCCUGUGACGAAGCGUGAGUGACGGUAAUGGGUAAAGAAGCACCGGCUAACUACGUGCCAGCAGCCGCGGUGAUACGUAGGGUGCGAGCGUUGUCCGGAUUUAUUGGGCGUAAAGGGCUCGUAGGUGGUUGAUCGCGUCGGAAGUGUAAUCUUGGGGCUUAACCCUGAGCGUGCUUUCGAUACGGGUUGACUUGAGGAAGGUAGGGGAGAAUGGAAUUCCUGGUGGAGCGGUGGAAUGCGCAGAUAUCAGGAGGAACACCAGUGGCGAAGGCGGUUCUCUGGGCCUUUCCUGACGCUGAGGAGCGAAAGCGUGGGGAGCGAACAGGCUUAGAUACCCUGGUAGUCCACGCUGUAAACGGUGGAUACUAGGUGUGGGGUCCAUUCCACGGGUUCCGUGCCGUAGCUAACGCUUUAAGUACCCCGCCUGGGGAGUACGGCCGCAAGGCUAAAACUCAAAGGAAUUGACGGGGCCCCGCACAAGCGGCGGAGCAUGCGGAUUAAUUCGAUGCAACGCGUAGAACCUUACCUGGGUUUGACAUGGAUCGGGAGUGCUCAGAGAUGGGUGUGCCUCUUUUGGGGUCGGUUCACAGGUGGUGCAUGGCUGUCGUCAGCUCGUGUCGUGAGAUGCUGGGUUAAGUCCCGCAACGAGCGCAACCCUUGUUCACUGUUGCCAGCACGUUAUGGUGGGGACUCAGUGGAGACCGCCGGGGUCAACUCGGAGGAAGGUGGGGAUGACGUCAAGUCAUCAUGCCCCUCAUGUCCAGGGCUUCACGCAUGCUACAAUGGCUGGUACAGAGAGUGGCGAGCCUGUGAGGGUGAGCGAAUCUCGGAAAGCCGGUCUCAGUUCGGAUUGGGGUCUGCAACUCGACCUCAUGAAGUCGGAGUCGCUAGUAAUCGCAGAUCAGCAACGCUGCGGUGAAUACGUUCCCGGG
Molecule: ribosomal RNA, 1343 nt
Filed under: uncultured bacterium
Lineage: Bacteria
Description: 16S ribosomal RNA
Rfam family: Bacterial small subunit ribosomal RNA
Source: RNAcentral